ACGGGUGAGUAACGCGUGGGAAUCUACCUUUUGCUACGGAAUAACGCAUGGAAACGUGUGCUAAUACCGUAUGUGCCCUUCGGGGGAAAGAUUUAUCGGCAAAGGAUGAGCCCGCGUUGGAUUAGCUAGUUGGUGGGGUAAAGGCCUACCAAGGCGACGAUCCAUAGCUGGUCUGAGAGGAUGAUCAGCCACAUUGGGACUGAGACACGGCCCAAACUCCUACGGGAGGCAGCAGUGGGGAAUAUUGGACAAUGGGCGCAAGCCUGAUCCAGCCAUGCCGCGUGAGUGAUGAAGGCCUUAGGGUCGUAAAGCUCUUUCACCGGUGAAGAUAAUGACGGUAACCGGAGAAGAAGCCCCGGCUAACUUCGUGCCAGCAGCCGCGGUAAUACGAAGGGGGCUAGCGUUGUUCGGAUUUACUGGGCGUAAAGCGCACGUAGGCGGAUCGAUCAGUCAGGGGUGAAAUCCCAGGGCUCAACCCUGGAACUGCCUUUGAUACUGUCGAUCUGGAGUAUGGAAGAGGUGAGUGGAAUUCCGAGUGUAGAGGUGAAAUUCGUAGA
Molecule: ribosomal RNA, 557 nt
Filed under: uncultured Rhizobium sp.
Lineage: Bacteria; Pseudomonadati; Pseudomonadota; Alphaproteobacteria; Hyphomicrobiales; Rhizobiaceae
Description: bacterial SSU rRNA
Rfam family: Bacterial small subunit ribosomal RNA
Source: RNAcentral